CCCUUAGAUGUUCUGGGCCGCACGCGCGCUACACUGAAAAAGUCAACGAGUAUUUUGUUAACCCUGUUCCGAAAGGAAUGGGUAAUCUUAAAACUUUUUCGUGAUGGGGAUAGAUCAUUGCAAUUAUUGAUCUUGAACGAGGAAUUCCUAGUAAGCGUGAGUCAUCAGCUUGCGUUGAUUACGUCCCUGCCCUUUGUACACACCGCCCGUCGCUACUACCGAUUGAAUGUUUUAGUGAGGUCUUUGGAUUGGUAACAUAAAGUGUUUCAUUUUAUGUGGCUAAGAAGUAGAACAAACUUGAGCAUUUAGAGGAAGUAAAANUCGUANCA
Molecule: ribosomal RNA, 329 nt
Filed under: uncultured eukaryote
Lineage: Eukaryota
Description: partial 18S ribosomal RNA
Rfam family: Eukaryotic small subunit ribosomal RNA
Source: RNAcentral